AUGCCUACGGGAUCCCUAGUAGCGGCGAGCGAAGCGGGAAGAGCUCAAAUUUAUAAUCUGGCACCUUCGGUGUCCGAGUUGUAAUCUCUAGAAGUGUUUUCCGCGUUGGACCGCACACAAGUCUGUUGGAAUACAGCGGCAUAGUGGUGAAACCCCCGUAUAUGGUGCGGACGCCCAGCGCUUUGUGAUACACUUUCAAUGAGUCGAGUUGUUUGGGAAUGCAGCUCAAAUUGGGUGGUAAAUUCCAUCUAAAGCUAAAUAUUGGCGAGAGACCGAUAGCGAACAAGUACCGUGAGGGAAAGAUGAAAAGCACUUUGGAAAGAGAGUUAACAGUACGUGAAAUUGUUGGAAGGGAAACGCUUGAAGUCAGACUUGCUUGCCGGAGCUUGCUUCGGUUUGCAGGCCAGCAUCAGUUUUCCGGGGUGGAUAAUGACGGUUUGAAGGUAGCAGUCUCGGCUGUGUUAUAGCUUUCCGUUGGAUACGCCCUGGGGGACUGAGGAACGCAGCGUGCUUUUUGCGAAAGACUCGUCUUUUUCACGCUUAGGAUGCUGGUGGAAUGGCUUUAAACGACCCGUCUUGAAACCACGGACCCA
This 593-nucleotide ribosomal RNA is filed under the name Rhodotorula diobovata. RNAcentral's name for it is "partial large subunit ribosomal RNA". It matches the Rfam family "Eukaryotic large subunit ribosomal RNA", at positions 62 to 669 of the family's 3401-position model. The record is from RNAcentral. Lineage: Eukaryota; Fungi; Basidiomycota; Microbotryomycetes; Sporidiobolales; Sporidiobolaceae.